AUCCAGGUGCAAUUUUCAUCUGUGUUACCAGUUCCUCUAUGGUAACCUGACAGUGACUCACAAUUCCUUACAGCACAGUGUUCCAAAGUCUGAGCCACAGACCACCUGUCCUAGUAGCAGCAGGUGGGCUUGAUAAAAAUGCAGAUUCCUGGUUCCCUGCCAGCCCUGUGCAAUCAGAUUCUGUAAAGUUUAAAAGUAAUGAUUUACAAAUUUCCCAGACCUGGGUUAUACUUUUAUACAGAAACAUAAUGCCUGAAUCUGACAGAGUGCUUUUUCGUGGAGGAAAGUUAGGACUCUUGGGCAGACUUCUUGUUGCUUUCAUACUCUACAGGUGUUCCUGACCCUGGUAUUUAUACAGCCAUCUCUGCCCUACCUACUUCCUUCCUUCCCCUGGAACUUCCUGAAGUGGUUAGGAACAAUUGCUGUGAAGGUCACAGGAGACCAUUUCUGUGAAUGCCAGAUGUGCUGGUGCAAUUUGAAAAGGUCAAUUUGAUUGACGCCUGAGCCACAGUGAUAACCCAAGGCAGCAGCCCUGUAACUGCUAGCUCUCAACAGUGGUGGCAUCGGCAGCCUUGAGCAAAGAGACUGUUUAAACUGAUGGAGGGGAAGCUUUAGUUCCUAUUUCUGGGGGAUCGAGUGGCCCCAGGAGAAAGGCUGAUCACUAGUUGCAACUUCCUUUGUAUUUACAAUAGUGUUUGCUGUUAGUUUAGCUGUGUUUAGACUAAAGGUGGGGGCAACAAUUACCCCUUUCUCUAAAGCUGUGAACUCUGACCUCUCGGUCUAGAGUGAGAUGGACUCUGGACAUGUGGACAGGCUCUACGAGAUUCUUCCUGACAAGGGCUGUAUGAGCUGACUUUUCAGAAGGAACUUGGUCAUGAUGGUGGAUCACUAUUCAGAGAGACACACUCUUUCUCAAAGCAAUGACAGGGGCAGCAGGGACUACAUUAAGUUUUGACAGGGUCCUGCAGCUGUUGGGGCAAAAGGGUCUGCCUUGGCCUCUGGGGGUCUCUGUACUGCAGAACUGCAGCGGAUGUACAGGGAUUGCUGGGGGCUGCAGAAGGAUUUUGCAAUAUGCAUUCAUGUUAGCUUCAGAGUGCCCAAAAUGAGCAUGAAAACGCUGUCAGAAAGGCAGUUAUUGCUACCUGAAGUCCCUGUUGGAGCAAAGUGCAAAUUAAAUACUGGUAAAAGAAAACAAAGCUGAUCACUGUUAUAUAGCAAAUGUCACUGUCCUGUGUACCUAUUUGGUCUACGGGCUGACUCCAGGAGGUGGGAGGUGCGACUGCAUGGAGCCAUGUUCGGCCUCCUACCUUCAAGGCCGGCCGCAUCUCUGAAUGGGGAGCUGGUGAGAAAGAGCUCUCCUUGAUAAAACAUCAUUUUUGCCCUUCCCAAUCUAGUCUUUCCUUUUCUGUUUUCUAGGAACAAGAGGAUUUAUCUGACUCAACUGGAGAUGGCUCCCUUCCCUAAUUUAUUGUUGCAUCCUGAAGCUUCUCCCAUGCUGAGCUCAGUGUGAACAAAUAGCGCUGGAGGAUGUAACCACUGCAGAGGCAUAUGUUUGAGAUGUCUGGCCACUGGAGGUCAUCUCGUCUACUAUGUUCACUGCAGAUAAAGAAUGAAAAGAGAAUGCACAACCUUGUGAUUGCUAGCAGUGAAAGCUCAGAGUUGUGACAUAACAGGUACAAAUUGAUCUGACUUGAUUUGUCAGAGAGCCAGAACUGCAGGCAAAUAGACGCCAGAGAAAUCAACCGAUCUUUUAAGCCAGCAGUAAUUGUUCCUCCUGUCGGCUGGCUAAAUGAGUUGUAUCUGGAGGAGAUCCUCAGAAUGAAUCAGAAUGCUCGAGGUGACAGAAACACAGAGCAUUCCAAAGUGGGCUGUAACAGAGAAUUAAAUUGAGUUCAAGCAGCUUGGAACAGCUUGAUGGCUUCUUUCUGCCACAGAAGGUGCCGGGUGUCCUGCAUCUAGACUCUGACAUCCUAUUGACUGGUUGGAAAGAACCCAAGGGGACGUGGGCACACUAUCCCUUCCUGGGCCUCUUCCCGACGUGGCACGUGUGGGAAAUCAGGAAGCUCCCAGACGUGGAGCAACUCAGGUGAUCAUGGCACAGAGAGACUUUUUUUCUUAGGAAAUAUUUAUUUAAAGAACUUCCUGACUAUAGAGGGAAAUAUGAUGAAUGCCAUGGAUAUUAUGAAGAGGGGCUUGAGCAGAGAGAAUGCUUAGAGGCUAAGCGAUGGGCAUAUGAGAGGGAAAGCGGCGACAGAUAGAGCUGGCUGCCUAGGGGUCUCAGAGGCUUCAUCCUGCAGGCGGCAGGACAAAGGGUCCUUCGAGCUCCAGAUCAAGAUUCCAAGGAGUUAAACGUUACCACGCAGCCCGACCUGGAUGGGAUUUGCUCCUGGGUACAAAACGGGACACUGAUCAAAAUCGACUUGGACAAGUGACAAGAGUGAGUCUGAUGUCGGUGGAUGUCUUUUAAGGUCGUUGGAGGGAAGAGGACGGGAGGGGUGUGCUGAGGGGUAGGUGGAGAGAGGCACCGAGUCCAGAGCCGGGAUAUAAAGGCACCAGGAGCCGGGGAGCAGAGGAGCAAAUGAGUGGGGGAAAGAGCGAGAGGAAGAGUUGGAGAAAAGUCGAGGGAAAGUAGGGACAGGGUUAAGGGGAGAGAGGAGGAUGAGGGCGGCGAGGAGAGAUUAAAAGGGGAAGGGGGUCGCUGGAGAGGAGGGCGGACUGUGGA
Non-coding RNA from Chlorocebus sabaeus (green monkey), 2722 nucleotides. The record is from RefSeq and is a predicted model, not a curated record. Lineage: Eukaryota; Metazoa; Chordata; Mammalia; Primates; Cercopithecidae.